GAUGAAGAACGCAGCGAAAUGCGAUAAGUAGUGUGAAUUGCAGAAUUCCGUGAAUCAUCGAAUCUUUGAACGCACAUUGCGCCCUUUGGUAUUCCUUAGGGCAUGCCUGUUCGAGCGUCAUCUACACCCUCAAGCUCCGCUUGGUGUUGGGCGUCUGUCCCGCUUCGCGCGCGGACUCGCCCCAAAGGUAUUGGCAGCGGUCGUGCCAGCUUCUCGCGCAGCACAUUGCGCUUCUCGAGGCACCGGUGGGCCCGCGUCCAUCAAGCUCACCCCCCCAGUUUGACCUCGGAUCAGGUAGGGAUACCCGCUGAACUUAAGCAUAUCAAUAAGCGGAGGA
Molecule: unclassified non-coding RNA, 337 nt
Filed under: soil metagenome
Description: partial contains 5.8S ribosomal RNA, internal transcribed spacer 2, and large subunit ribosomal RNA
Rfam family: 5.8S ribosomal RNA (bases 1-120)
Source: RNAcentral